GCAAUUUUAGUUUAAUUAAAAUAAUAGUUUGUCUCACUGUUGAUGGCUUUAUAAGCUAAGUUGCU
This 65-nucleotide transfer RNA is filed under the name Rhinebothrium flexile. RNAcentral describes it as "tRNA-Asp". Lineage: Eukaryota; Metazoa; Platyhelminthes; Cestoda; Rhinebothriidea; Rhinebothriidae. The record is from RNAcentral.